GACGAACGCUGGCGGCGUGCCUAAUACAUGCAAGUAGAACGCUGAGGACUGGUGCUUGCACUGGUCUAAGGAGUUGCGAACGGGUGAGUAACGCGUAGGUAACCUACCUCAUAGCGGGGGAUAACUAUUGGAAACGAUAGCUAAUACCGCAUGACAAUAGGGUACACAUGUACCCUGGUUUAAAAGGGGCAAACGCUUCACUAUGGGGUGAGCCCGCGUAAGAUUAGGUAGUUGGUGAGGUAAAGGCUCACCAAGCCGACGAUCUUUAGCUGGUCUGAGAGGAUGAUCAGCCACACUGGGACUGAGACACGGCCCAG
This 317-nucleotide ribosomal RNA is filed under the name uncultured bacterium. RNAcentral describes it as "bacterial SSU rRNA". It matches the Rfam family "Bacterial small subunit ribosomal RNA", at positions 28 to 334 of the family's 1533-position model. The record is from RNAcentral.